AGAGUUUGAUCAUGGCUCAGAUUGAACGCUGGCGGCAGGCCUAACACAUGCAAGUCGAACGGUAACAGGAAGCAGCUUGCUGCUUCGCUGACGAGUGGCGGACGGGUGAGUAAUGUCUGGGAAACUGCCUGAUGGAGGGGGAUAACUACUGGAAACGGUAGCUAAUACCGCAUAAUGUCGCAAGACCAAAGAGGGGGACCUUCGGGCCUCUUACCAUCGGAUGUGCCCAGAUGGGAUUAGCUUGUUGGUGGGGUAACGGCUCACCAAGGCGACGAUCCCUAGCUGGUCUGAGAGGAUGACCAGCCACACUGGAACUGAGACACGGUCCAGACUCCUACGGGAGGCAGCAGUGGGGAAUAUUGCACAAUGGGCGCAAGCCUGAUGCAGCCAUGCCGCGUGUAUGAAGAAGGCCUUCGGGUUGUAAAGUACUUUCAGCGGGGAGGAAGGGAGUAAAGUUAAUACCUUUGCUCAUUGACGUUAUCCGCAGAAGAAGCACCGGCUAACUCCGUGCCAGCAGCCGCGGUAAUACGGAGGGUGCAAGCGUUAAUCGGAAUUACUGGGCGUAAAGCGCACGCAGGCGGUUUGUUAAGUCAGAUGUGAAAUCCCCGGCUCAACCUGGGAACUGCAUCUGAUACUGGCAAGCUUGAGUCUCGUAGAGGGGGUAGAAUUCCAGGUGUAGCGGUGAAAUGCGUAGAGAUCUGGAGGAAUACCGGUGGCGAAGGCGGCCCCCUGGACGAAGACUGACGCUCAGGUGCGAAAGCGUGGGGAGCAAACAGGAUUAGAUACCCUGGUAGUCCACGCCGUAAACGAUGUCGACUUGGAGGUUGUGCCCUUGAGGCAUGGCUUCCGGAGCUAACGCGUUAAGUCGACCGCCUGGGGAGUACGGCCGCAAGGUUAAAACUCAAAUGAAUUGACGGGGGCCCGCACAAGCGGUGGAGCAUGUGGUUUAAUUCGAUGCAACGCGAAGAACCUUACCUGGUCUUGACAUCCACGGAAGUUUUCAGAGAUGAGAAUGUGCCUUCGGGAACCGUGAGACAGGUGCUGCAUGGCUGUCGUCAGCUCGUGUUGUGAAAUGUUGGGUUAAGUCCCGCAACGAGCGCAACCCUUAUCCUUUGUUGCCAGCGGUCCGGCCGGGAACUCAAAGGAGACUGCCAGUGAUAAACUGGAGGAAGGUGGGAUGACGUCAAGUCAUCAUGGCCCUUACGACCAGGGCUACACACGUGCUACAAUGGCGCAUACAAAGAGAAGCGACCUCGCGAGAGCAAGCGGACCUCAUAAAGUGCGUCGUAGUCCGGAUUGGAGUCUGCAACUCGACUCCAUGAAGUCGGAAUCGCUAGUAAUCGUGGAUCAGAAUGCCACGGUGAAUACGUUCCCGGCCUUGUACACACCGCCCGUCACACCAUGGGAGUGGGUUGCAAAAGAAGUAGGUAGCUUAACCUUCGGGAGGGCGCUUACCACUUUGUGAUUCAUGACUGGGGUGAAGUCGUAACAAGGUAACCGUAGGGGAACCUGCGGUUG
RNAcentral lists this ribosomal RNA (1518 nucleotides) under Shigella dysenteriae. Its description in RNAcentral is "bacterial SSU rRNA". It matches the Rfam family "Bacterial small subunit ribosomal RNA". Lineage: Bacteria; Pseudomonadati; Pseudomonadota; Gammaproteobacteria; Enterobacterales; Enterobacteriaceae. The record is from RNAcentral.